AUUGAACGCUGGCGGCAGGCUUAACACAUGCAAGUCGAGCGGAGAUGAGGUGCUUGCACCUUAUCUUAGCGGCGGACGGGUGAGUAAUGCUUAGGAAUCUGCCUAUUAGUGGGGGACAACAUUCCGAAAGGAAUGCUAAUACCGCAUACGUCCUACGGGGGAAAGCAGGGGAUCUUCGGACCUCGCGCUAAUAGAUGAGCCUAAGUCGGAUUAGCUAGUUGGUGGGGUAAAGGCCUACCAAGGCGACGAUCUGUAGCGGGUCUGAGAGGAUGAUCCGCCACACUGGGACUGAGACACGGCCCAGACUCCUACGGGAGGCAGCAGUGGGGAAUAUUGGACAAUGGGGGGAACCCUGAUCCAGCCAUGCCGCGUGUGUGAAGAAGGCCUUAUGGUUGUAAAGCACUUUAAGCGAGGAGGAGGCUACUGAGACUAAUACUCUUGGAUAGUGGACGUUACUCGCAGAAUAAGCACCGGCUAACUCUGUGCCAGCAGCCGCCGUAA
This 501-nucleotide ribosomal RNA is filed under the name uncultured bacterium. Its description in RNAcentral is "partial 16S ribosomal RNA". It matches the Rfam family "Bacterial small subunit ribosomal RNA", at positions 30 to 523 of the family's 1533-position model. The record is from RNAcentral.